Molecule: ribosomal RNA, 405 nt
Filed under: uncultured beta proteobacterium
Lineage: Bacteria; Pseudomonadati; Pseudomonadota; Betaproteobacteria
Description: bacterial SSU rRNA
Rfam family: Bacterial small subunit ribosomal RNA
Source: RNAcentral
GAGUUUGAUCUUGGCUCAGAUUGAACGCUGGCGGCAUGCUUUACACAUGCAAGUCGAACGGCAGCACGGACUUCGGUCUGGUGGCGAGUGGCGAACGGGUGAGUAAUACAUCGGAACGUACCCAGUAAUGGGGGGAUAACUAUCCGAAAGGAUAGCUAAUACCGCAUACGCCCUACGGGGGAAAGAGGGGGAUCGCAAGACCUCUUGUUAUUGGAGCGGCCGAUGGCUGAUUAGCCAGUUGGUGAGGUAAAGGCUCACCAAGGCGACGAUCAGUAGCGGGUCUUAGAGGACGAUCCGCCACACUGGAACUGAGACACGGUCCAGACUCCUACGGGAGCAGCAGUGGGGAAUCUUGGACAAUGGGCGCAAGCCUGAUCCAGCAAUGCCGCGUGCGUGAAGAAGGCC